GACGAACGCUGGCGGCGUGCUUAACACAUGCAAGUCGAACGGAAAGGCCCUGCUUUUGUGGGGUGCUCGAGUGGCGAACGGGUGAGUAACACGUGAGUAACCUGCCCUUGACUUUGGGAUAACUUCAGGAAACUGGGGCUAAUACCGGAUAGGAGCUCCUGCUGCAUGGUGGGGGUUGGAAAGUUUCGGCGGUUGGGGAUGGACUCGCGGCUUAUCAGCUUGUUGGUGGGGUAGUGGCUUACCAAGGCGUUGACGGGUAGCCGGCCUGAGAGGGUGACCGGCCACAUUGGGCCUGAGAUACGGCCCAGACUCCUACGGGAGGCAGCAGUGGGGAAUAUUGCACAAUGGGCGGAAGCCUGAUGCAGCAACGCCGCGUGCGGGAUGACGGCCUUCGGGUUGUAAACCGCUUUCGCCUGUGACGAAGCGUGAGUGACGGUAAUGGGUAAAGAAGCACCGGCUAACUACGUG
This 468-nucleotide ribosomal RNA is filed under the name uncultured bacterium. RNAcentral describes it as "partial 16S ribosomal RNA". It matches the Rfam family "Bacterial small subunit ribosomal RNA", at positions 28 to 507 of the family's 1533-position model. The record is from RNAcentral.